GCCCCCCUUGGAUGUUAAUCGUCGUGCGUAUACAUGGGAAAGUGGUUUUACUAUUUACAGUAUUAUAGUAGAAUAAUAUAGGUCACUUGUCAGGUCGUAAAUAUCAUAAAAAUCGGGGUUAACAUUAACCUGGUAAUGGUUCACAAGUGGUAUAGGCUCUGGUAAUAAUGGUAUAUCUAUCAAAAUGGUCAAGGUAAUGUGUGCUGUGCUGUCCAGAAUCGUCUGCUACAACCGUUUAUAUAGUCUGGAAGUCUGCAGACACAGAAAGUGUGUCCGUUACUAUAACGAUAAGUGUGUCCGUAAAAUUAACGUAGCGAUUGGUUGUAAUUCUAAAUAUACAUAAUACCGGGUUCUGGAAACUAGGUUAUCUCUGUCCAUUCCGAUUGGUCCUUAAAACCGGAAGUUCCCACGGCAAUAAUACGGAACAUGGCACAAAAACAAAUAGAAAUACACAACUGUCGAAGGAAAAGGGGAGAUAUGGGCUUAUCAAGAAUAACCCUUAGUGGGAACGUACCCUGGUUACAAUAUAGACCC
This 534-nucleotide long non-coding RNA is filed under the name Mytilus galloprovincialis (Mediterranean mussel). The record is from RNAcentral. Lineage: Eukaryota; Metazoa; Mollusca; Bivalvia; Mytilida; Mytilidae.